Non-coding RNA from Vibrio metschnikovii CIP 69.14, 174 nucleotides. The record is from Rfam. NCBI's taxonomy places the organism in Bacteria, Pseudomonadati, Pseudomonadota, Gammaproteobacteria, Vibrionales, Vibrionaceae.
UUCAUCGUGAGGUGAAAUCUGAAGGAAGCAAAUGGCAAAACGUGGUGAUGACGAACAGAAAUCUGAUAGUAGGCUGUGUCGACUUGGGUAACCUAGCAAUAGAUAGAAUAGCCCAACGACUCGACGAGAAGUGCGAUGCAGUAAAUCAGGCAUGACCACGAGAAAGAACAACGU